Molecule: long non-coding RNA, 677 nt
Filed under: Mus spretus (western wild mouse)
Lineage: Eukaryota; Metazoa; Chordata; Mammalia; Rodentia; Muridae
Description: predicted gene 20692 (ENSMSPG00010047296.1)
Source: RNAcentral
UCGCUUUCAUGCUUUCCCAGAUAUCAUCUAUAGUACACGCCAGGCAAUUGUGUUUAAGUUGGUCUGUCCUGAGGAAGCUCCGAGAAAGGGCUGUGCUGUUAGGUUAAUAUUUAGUAUGCGCUCACUGGUGUUCAUUUCCAUGUUCAUCUGAACCACACGACCUUCCCUGGGUCACUGCUUUCUUUGUCACAGUUGUGUAUAAAAGUGAGUGCACUGAAGCUGAAGUAAGGCUGUCCACGGCAUUAGACUAUAGUUCGCCCUGUUCUUUCAAGUCCUCAGAUCCCAGGUCUCCAGAGUAUCAGAUUUCCUCAUUGGCCAAAGUCAACACCAAUCAGGAUUUUGCUGUAUCCCAGGUUGGCCUGGAACUACAAAUGAAGCCCACAUAGUGUCACACAUGUGGUUCUCCUGCCUCUGUCUUCUCUUGUGUACCACAACAACCAGCUAACUUCGGGAUCACGGAGUAAACAGAGGCAGACAUGGUGACACAAGCCUGCAAUCCCAGCACUCAGGAGGCUGGUGGAAGAAAUUAUGAUUUAAGGCUAGCCUGGCCUCCACUGUGAGUCACAGACAAAUCAAAGCUAACGAGUGAGACUCUGUCUCAAAACGAUACAAAAAUAAUUGUGAGGGGAAAAAAAAUCUCAAAUAUGGCUUCUUUGAAUAAAAACAAAAGUUACCUC